GUGGGGAAUAUUGGACAAUGGGGGGAACCCUGAUCCAGCCAUGCCGCGUGUGUGAAGAAGGCCUUUUGGUUGUAAAGCACUUUAAGCGAGGAGGAGGCUACUUAGAUUAAUACUCUAGGAUAGUGGACGUUACUCGCAGAAUAAGCACCGGCUAACUCUGUGCCAGCAGCCGCGGUAAUACAGAGGGUGCAAGCGUUAAUCGGAAUUACUGGGCGUAAAGCGCGCGUAGGUGGUUUUGUAAGUUGGAGGUGAAAUCCCCGGGCUCAACCUGGGAACUGCCUCCAAAACUGCAUGACUAGAGUACGGUAGAGGGUAGUGGAAUUUCCUGUGUAGCGGUGAAAUGCGUAGAGAUCGGGAGGAACAUCCGUGGCGAAGGCGGCCAUCUGGACCAGCACUGACACUGAGGCACGAAAGCGUGGGGAGCAAACAGGAUUAGAAACCCUUGUAGUCC
Molecule: ribosomal RNA, 451 nt
Filed under: uncultured bacterium
Lineage: Bacteria
Description: partial 16S ribosomal RNA
Rfam family: Bacterial small subunit ribosomal RNA
Source: RNAcentral